Molecule: ribosomal RNA, 331 nt
Filed under: uncultured bacterium
Lineage: Bacteria
Description: partial 16S ribosomal RNA
Rfam family: Bacterial small subunit ribosomal RNA
Source: RNAcentral
CCUACGGGAGGCAGCAGUGGGGAAUAGUGGGCAAUGGAGGAAACUCUGACCCAGCAACGCCGCGUGAAUGAUGAAGGUCUUCGGAUUGGAAAGUUCUUGUGGAAGGGAAGAAGAAAGGGACGGUACCGGAGGAAUAAGCCUCGGCUAACUACGGGCCAGCAGCCGCGGUAAUACGUAGGAGGCGAGCGUUAUCCGGAAUGACUGGGCGUAAAGGGUGCGUAGGUGGUUUGGCAAGUUAGUAGCGUAACUCCAAGGCUAAACCUUGGAACUCCUACUAAAACUUUUGGACUUGAGUGCAGGAGUGUCAACCGGCAUUCCUCGUGUAGCGGUG